Bos taurus (domestic cattle) is the source of this 642-nucleotide long non-coding RNA. The record is from Ensembl. Lineage: Eukaryota; Metazoa; Chordata; Mammalia; Artiodactyla; Bovidae.
UUUCUUGGACGUUUCUGUUAGAUUUUGUGUGGAAUUGAAUUGACACAUCAAUUUGAGAAGACUUGAUAUCUCUGUGCUAUUAAAACUUUCCAUCAGGGAACAUGGAAUAUCACUGAAUCUAUUCGGCAAUCACAUCACCUAUAAAUAACAAGAGGUUUGAGGUUUCCUUCUCAAGUUUGAUGCUUCUCAUUUUAAUUCUUUAUUAGUGCAGUUCAGUCGCUCAGUCAUAUCCGACUCUUUGCGACCCCAUGAAUUGCAGCACGCCAAGCCUCCCUGUCCAUCACCAACUCCUGGAGUUCACCCAAACCCAUGUCCAGCAACCUUUAGCUAUGUAAUAAUUCUGUCUCCCUGUCAAACAUUACAAGAUCUAUUAGCCUGCUUCCUACUACCAAGGAACGAUGCCUCCACCCCAUCUUUUUAUUGAGUUCACAGCUUCUAUUGUACUUUUAAAAAUUCAAAAUAAAUAGUGAUUUUUAUGUGUGCAUGUUUGUGUGUGUGCUGUUUUGUUUCUUCCUUCUGGGUUCAUUUUUCUUCUUGAGGUAAAUCAUUUAAUAGUCCCCGUUGUGAGGAUCAGUAAGUGGUAAAUACUCCAAGUUUCUGAAUGGUGAAAAUGACUUCUUUUUUGUCUUACAACUGAAAGGU